RNAcentral lists this long non-coding RNA (1136 nucleotides) under Homo sapiens (human). RNAcentral's name for it is "long non-coding RNA NONHSAT169174.1". The record is from RNAcentral. Lineage: Eukaryota; Metazoa; Chordata; Mammalia; Primates; Hominidae.
AUCAAUUACACUGAACCUAAGCUGGGUUAUACACGUGACAGCCCUGGUUUCCUGAGGUUUGUGAGGGUUUUAUGUGGCAUGUCUUCUGAUGAAAGGAAAGCAUUCUUGCAGUUUACCACUGGUUGUUCAACUCUACCCCCAGGUGGACUGGCUAACCUGCAUCCCAGGCUCACGGUUGUACGCAAGGUUGAUGCUACUGAUGCAAGCUAUCCAUCAGUCAAUACAUGUGUGCAUUACCUUAAGUUGCCUGAAUAUUCUUCCGAGGAGAUCAUGAGAGAGCGCCUGCUAGCUGCUACAAUGGAGAAAGGCUUUCAUCUCAAUUGAGCUUUGAAGUGCAAUGGGAGACAUCAGAGACUUUAAAAAUACUAGUGAAGCCUCUUGUGUUUGUGUGCAGAGAAGUAUAUGAUCCACCAUGCUAAUGACACUUGCCUUUUUUUCCACCAUUAAGGCUUUAAGAACAUGUGGAAUAAGUUUUUUAGCUGCUAAUGACAAAACAAAUCCUGUAACUACCCAGCCAGCAAGUAUAUAGCACAGAACACUGUGUUACUUUACAAGGGCUUAUGUGACUGGAAUAAGGUGGUCCCACUUGACUGUUCCAAAGAGCAGCUUCUCAGAUCUUCAGUGUUCACUGGUAAAUUUCUAACAGUGUAUUUGUGUAAAGUUUGUCAUUUCAUACUCCAUACACUACAGUUGCUGUCACUGAUCCCUGUUUUGCUGGCUUUUAAGCUACUUGGUCAAAAAUCCUGCUUCCUUAAAACAUAGAGAAUUAAUGAGCAUCUCAAGCUUUUUCUUUUCCUUUUUAAUGAUGCCUGCACUAUCAAGAGUAUUCUAGUGUUCUCUCUUUGUUUGGCAUAUAAUCAUGCACCAAACUUUUUAUUUCUUUAAGGUGGGAGUAUAUUUUUAUUUCCUAAAUGCCAUACUAUGAAGAUCAAAGUCUUAAGUGUGUUUGCAGCUCAAAAAUAAAGAUGUAUUAAGGGGGGAAAACCUGGUCUAAGUGCAAGGCACACUUACAGCGAGUUUUACUUUCGGUUGUAUUUUCUUUGUAUAUUAUAAACAUUUAUUUAACUUGUUGCCGUUUGAAGUAAAAAAUUUCCAAAAUGUAUGCUCAACAAUAAUCAUUAAAAUGUUUGCAGCGU